Nyctereutes procyonoides (raccoon dog) is the source of this 327-nucleotide long non-coding RNA. RefSeq lists it as uncharacterized. Lineage: Eukaryota; Metazoa; Chordata; Mammalia; Carnivora; Canidae. The transcript has 3 exons. The record is from RefSeq and is a predicted model, not a curated record.
UCUGACUUUCAAAGCCUCAGGGCCCCGCAAGGCUCCAUAUGAUCUAGCACGUUCCCUCCUCCCAUUACCCAGCUCACCUCUCUGACCUCAUCUUCUUGUCUCUCCCACUCCUUCCAGGUACCCUGGCCUCUUUGCUUCUCUUCAGACUCCCUGGAGGUCCUGAGAUUGAAGAAGGCCAGGAUCUUCACGGAGGAUGACCAGAGCCUACAUGGAGUCUUUUAAAUGAAAUCGUGAAUGAACGUCUGGAAAAUUACUUGAAUUCCUCCAAAGAAGAGAGAUGUUCGUGGCUGUCACCAGACAGAAAGCUUUGAAAACACAAAGCAGCCG